UGAGCAACCUACCGAUUUGUGGGGGAUAGCUGGCCUAACGGCCAGGUAAUACCGCAUAUGAUGAUCGGCCCGCAUGGGCCGAUCAUCAAACUCCUUAUACGAGGCAAAUCGAGGGGCUCGCGGCCUAUCAGCUAGUUGGCGAGGUCACGGCUCACCAAGGCGACGACGGGUAGCUGGUCUGAGAGGAUGGCCAGCCACAUUGGGACUGAGACCAGGCCCAG
RNAcentral lists this ribosomal RNA (221 nucleotides) under uncultured bacterium. Its description in RNAcentral is "partial 16S ribosomal RNA". It matches the Rfam family "Bacterial small subunit ribosomal RNA", at positions 118 to 334 of the family's 1533-position model. The record is from RNAcentral.